CCUACGGGCGGCAGCAGUGAGGAAUAUUGGUCAAUGGACGAGAGUCUGAACCAGCCAAGUAGCGUGAAGGAUGACUGCCCUAUGGGUUGUAAACUUCUUUUAUAUGGGAAUAAAAUGUUCCACGUGUGGGAUUUUGUAUGUACCAUAUGAAUAAGGAUCGGCUAACUCCGUGCCAGCAGCCGCGGUAAUACGGAGGAUCCGAGCGUUAUCCGGAUUUAUUGGGUUUAAAGGGAGCGUAGGUUGAUUGUUAAGUCAGUUGUGAAAGUUUGCGGCUCAACCGUAAAAUUGCAGUUGAAACUGGCAGUCUUGAGUACAGUAGAGGUGGGCGGAAUUCGUGGUGUAGCGGUGAAAUGCUUAGAUAUCACGAAGAACUCCGAUUGCGAAGGCAGUUCACUGGACUGCAACUGACACUGAGGCUCGAAAGUGUGGGUAUCAAACAGGAUUAGAUACCCCUGUAGUC
This 460-nucleotide ribosomal RNA is filed under the name uncultured bacterium. Its description in RNAcentral is "partial 16S ribosomal RNA". It matches the Rfam family "Bacterial small subunit ribosomal RNA", at positions 338 to 795 of the family's 1533-position model. The record is from RNAcentral.